This 253-nucleotide ribosomal RNA is filed under the name uncultured bacterium. RNAcentral describes it as "partial 16S ribosomal RNA". It matches the Rfam family "Bacterial small subunit ribosomal RNA", at positions 524 to 776 of the family's 1533-position model. The record is from RNAcentral.
UACGAAGGGUGCAAGCGUUACUCGGAAUUACUGGGCGUAAAGCGUGCGUAGGUGGUGAGUUAAGUCUGUCGUGAAAGCCCCGGGCUCAACCUGGGAAUGGCGAUGGAUACUGGCUCGCUAGAGUGCGGUAGAGGAGAGUGGAAUUCCCGGUGUAGCAGUGAAAUGCGUAGAGAUCGGGAGGAACAUCAGUUGCGAAGGCGGCUCUCUGGACCAGCACUGACACUGAGGAGCGAAAGCGUGGGGAGCGAACAGG